CUGCCACAGCCAAUUACACUGAGACAGAGAACUGUACUAAAUGCCGUAAAAUCACAUACAAAACUAAAAUGUUUGUUUUGUCUGUGGAGGUAGAAAAUGGGUAUUUAAAGCAUACGAGUGAUAAUAAGGUCAUUUGUGAGUCUUGCUCUGGAACUUCAACUUCAACUACUGCCGGCACAAAGUGUUUCAGCUUUAAAAAGAAACAAAAGAUUCAUAUCUCAGUUCCUGAGCGAGACCAAAACACAGUAAAGCUCACCUUUAAGAAGUUUCAUCAACAACACCGUGUUAGUGACUGUAUAGAGGCUCACACAGGUUCGACUGACAGGCCCUGCAAUGUCAGUGUGGCUACAACAAAUGCAGUUACAAAUCUGGAGUUCUACCAGGAAGCGAAAAGUUGGAUUGAUGCCUUGGAGCAAUGCCAGAGAGACUACACCUCCCUGGUUGAAAUCACCAACCAAACAGUAAAAGAUGUAGUGAAAGGUCUCCUGCAAAGUCUCCUGCAAAAUGAGACACACUUGCAACAAGGGGUGUGGAUUGGCCUGG
This is a long non-coding RNA of Oreochromis aureus, 543 nucleotides long. The record is from Ensembl. Lineage: Eukaryota; Metazoa; Chordata; Actinopteri; Cichliformes; Cichlidae.